RNAcentral lists this long non-coding RNA (245 nucleotides) under Malus domestica (apple). RNAcentral describes it as "long non-coding RNA (MDOM_LNC020549)". Lineage: Eukaryota; Viridiplantae; Streptophyta; Magnoliopsida; Rosales; Rosaceae. The record is from RNAcentral.
UAUUCCUUCUUAUAUGAUUCUAUUGAGUCGUAUAGGAACGCUUUCCUUUAUUACGCUCGAUACUUCGGCCGAAGGUUCCCGAAUCAUAUCUUAGAGUAUUCUUCCUCUCUUAUCGAGGAUUAGAGAUUCCUUGUUGCGCAUUCACUUGCCUUCAUGACUAAGUGGCUUAACCCCAAUUAUGCCGUGGACACCCACGAAUGGGGUGACUUUGACAUAAUCAAAGAUUAAGUACUUAGCCACAAGAC